UACGUAGGAUGCGAGCGUUAUCCGGAUUUAUUGGGUUUAAAGGGUGCGUAGGCGGUUGUAUAAGUCGUGGGUGAAAGUCAAAUGCUUAACAUUUGGAAUGCCUGCGAUACUGUACGACUUGGAUUCGGUGGAGGUAAUUGGAAUGACAGAUGUAGCGGUGAAAUGCAUAGAUAUCUGUUGGAACGCCAAUUGCGAAGGAAGGUUACUGUACCGAGAGUGACGUUGAGGCACGAAAGCGUGGGGAGCAAACAGG
This 253-nucleotide ribosomal RNA is filed under the name uncultured bacterium. RNAcentral describes it as "partial 16S ribosomal RNA". It matches the Rfam family "Bacterial small subunit ribosomal RNA", at positions 524 to 776 of the family's 1533-position model. The record is from RNAcentral.